UGAAAAUUACAGGCCUCUCUCAUCUUUUUAAGUGGGAGAACUUGCACAAUUGGUGGCUGACUAAAUGCUUUUUUGCCCCACUGUAUAUGUGCUCGUAGUUCGUCUGUUUUAUUGUCCAAUGAUUGUACAUUGGUUCAUAGGACCGAUGGUAUAGGCCCAUUACACACUCGCCAUCAGGUGAACAACAUCAUCGGUGAGAUGGUGCCCAGCAUGCAGGCCUUUGAGUCCAUGCUCUGCUACAUGUACUAUGGGAUGUUAACAUGCCUCCGGAAGACUCUCUCUACUUGUUCGCAGCACCAUAUUGCUACGUUUUCCUGAACAACAGACUACAGGCCUACUGCAAGCAGAACCUGGAGAUGAAUGUGAUGGUGGAGAACAUCCUCCAGAUCCUAGAGGCAGCGAACAAAACUCAGACCUGGGACAUGAAGAAGCACUGACUGCACAUCCUCAUCCGCCAGUUCAUCAAGUGCCAUGUGGAGUAUCUUUUGUCUUAACAAACCAAGGAAAAUACUAUGAGAUGGGCUCCUACAUCUAGGACCAGGAUGUUGACCUACUCUCUCUACCGAAGCCCUCCGUGUCUGCUCCCUUCCUCAUUAGUCACCAGUGAAGGUUGGUUAAAGGAGAAAUGUGGAGGAUGGGUUCUCUCCACCAGCCACCACUGCUUUAUAAGUUAGGGUUAAGGCUCUCGAGUGGCGCAGCGGUCUAAAGCACUGCAUCUCAAUCCUAGAGGUGUCACUACAGACCCUGGUUCGAAACUGGGCUGUAUCACAACCGGCGGUGAUCAGGAGUCCCAUAGGGCGGCGCACAAUUGGCCUAGUUAAAUAAAGGUUAAAUAAAAAAUGCAAAAAUAAUUGACUGUGGACCUUACAUAACAUUUCCUCAACCUUGUCCCAAAUGUCCCUUUUUACCUAUGCUGGGUUACUUUGGAUCCACUCUCUAAAUGAAUCAUGUUUGAAUGACCUGCGAGAAUAAUACUGAACAUUAUACAAUGAUCACCUGAAUGUGUACGUCCGGACCAGUUUUGAGAAUGCUGAUAUUGUGCUUGAAGUAACCUCCCCCUCAUCCUUGUUCAGUUAGCCGGAUUUCAGUUAGCAUGGUUUAUAAGUAUUCUUUUCAUCUAUUUAUUUCCUCAUAUAUUAAUUUUAUAAUUUCAUAAAUGGUAUAUAAAAAAAACCUGGAUCAUGGUUAAAUGUUGAUUCUCCUACAUAGUAAAGCUACAUACUGCAGGGUUACCCAACUGGCAGCCCAUGGUUGUUUUUCUUUUGCCUCUCCAAGUUUUCUGAACAAAAACGUUAUAUACAGUGCAUUCGGAAAGUAUUCAGGCCCCUUGACUUUUUCCACAUUUUGUUACAAUACAGCCUUAUUCUAAAAUGUAUUAAAUUGUUUUUUCCUCCUCAUAAAUCUACACACAAUACUCCAUAAUGACAAAGCAAAAACAGGAUUUUUGAUAUGUUUAAAAAAACGGAAAUAUCACAUUUACAUAAGUAUUCCGAUCUUUUACUCAAUACUUUGUUGAAGCACCUUUGGUAGCGAUUACAGCAUCAAGUCUCCUUGGGUAUAAUGCAACAAGCUUGGCACAACUGUAUUUGGGGAGUUUCUCCCAUUAUUCUCUGCAGAUCCUCUCAAGCUCUGUCAGGUUGGAUGAGCGUCGCUGACAAAUAUCCCCACAGCAUGAUGCUGCCACCACCUUGCUUCGGCAUAGGGAUGGUGUCAGGUUUCCUACAGAUGUGACGCUUUGAAUUCAGGCCAUCAGACCAGAGAAUCUUGUUUCUCAUGGUUAGAAAGUCCUUUACUUGCCUUUUUAGGAAACUCCAAGUGGGCUGUCGUGCCUUUUACUGAGGAGUGGCUUCUGUCCAUUCUACCAUUAAGGCCUGAUUGGUGGAGUGCUGCUGAGAUGGUUGACCUUCUGGAAGGUUCUCCCAUCUCCACGGAGAAACUCUGGAGCUCUGUCAGAGUGACCAUCAGGUUCUUAGUCACCUCCCUGACCAAGGCCCUUCUCCCCCGAUUGCUCAGUUUGGCCGAGCAGCCAGCUCUCGGAAGUGUCUUGGUGGUUCCAAACAUUUUCCAUUUUAGAAUGAUGGAGGCUAUUGUGUUCUUGGGGACCUUCAAUUCUGAAGACAUUUUUUGGAACCCUUCCCCAGGUCUGUGCCUCGACACAACCCCGUCUCUGAGCUCUACAGACAAUUCCUUCGACCUCAUGGUUUGAUUUUGGCUCUGACAUGCACCGUCAACUGUGCGACCUUAUAUAGACAGGUGUGUGCCUUUCCAAAUCAUGUCCAAUCAAUUGAAUUUACGACAGGUGGACUCCAAUCAAGUUGUUGAAACAUCUCAAGGAUGAUCAAUGGAAACAGGAUGCACCUGAGCUCAAUUUCCUGUCUCAUAGCAAAGGGUCUGAAUACUCAUGUAAUACUCAUUUCUGUUUUAUUUUUAAUAAAUUAUUCUAAAAUUGAAUUUCCUUAUCAAUCUACACAUGAUACCCCAAAAUGACAAAGUGAAAACAAGUUUUUUUUAAAGUUUAGUAAAGGCUGUAAUGUAACAAAAUGUGGAAAAAGUAAAUGGGUCUGAAUACUUUCUCAAUGCACCUUGUAAAUAUAUAUUUUAUUUUUAUUAUUAUUAUUAUUGAACAUAAAAGACUGUAAAAACACCAGGAAUUAAUUGAAGAAAUCUGUUUCUACGUUUUCCCAUGCAUAAUAGAGAGACACGUAUACAAAUGUCUACAAAUGAUUUGUAGUUAUGAUCCGGCCCCCCGACUAUCCUCUCAAGAACAAAUCGUCCCAUCGCUGAAUGUAGUUGAUGAUCCCUGACAUACUGUAUGCAUUAUAUAUGUGUGACAUAGAAGAACUCUUUAUAGUUGUAACAUAUUUAAGCCAUAAUGCACAAUGGGGUGUGGUAUAUGGCCAAUAUACAAAGGCUAAUGGCUUUUCUUAAUUAUGCACAGCACAAUGCGGAGUGUCUGUAUACAGCCCUUAGCCUUGGUAUAUUGGCCAUAUACCACAAAUAUACAUAUACCACAUAUACCACAAGCCCCUGAGGUGCCUUAUUGCUAUUAUAAACUGGUUACCAACGUAAUUAGAGCAGUAAAAUAAAUGUUUUGUCAUACCCGUGGUAUAUGGUCUGAUAUACCACGGCUGUCAGCCAAUCAGAAUUCAGGGAUCAAACAACCCAGUUUAUAAUAUAAAAUGUGUUUCAAGAAGAAUUGAAGACGUGGUCAUUCUUCUGAGGGAAUAAUUAAUUCCUUAGCAACUAAAUCAAUAAUUAGUUCCUUAGCAACUAAAUUAAACAGGAUGGGAAAUGUAUCACCAAAGUAUUUGUUCCUCUCUGCUGAUCUAUUAUAAAAUGAAAACAUUUGGAAAUUGUUAACAUCACAGCAUAUAAUCAGUAUAAUUUCAUUCUGAAUGGUUUCAGAUGAGCAAUGGCAUGUCUAGUACUGGAGAGGUGUUUGUUUAAGCUUGGGAGAACCAGGUUUUGUUUAAUAUUGGUGUUUGACACAGGAUCUAUAUUGGAAAAUUCUCUGAUUAGCCAGCUGCUGUACAGUUGGCAGGAAUAUGAACCUGCUCAAAUACUCUGUUUUGUGUUUUGCUAUGAUGACAUGCUACUGAGUCAAAUGUUUCUCACAUUGACUCCAUCAAAGCCUUAAUAAAUUACAUAUGGGCUUCCGAGUGGCGUAGCAAUUUAAAUCACAACCGGCUGUGAUUGGGAUUCCCAUAGGGCAGGUCACAAUUGGCCCAGCGUUGUCCGGGUUUGGUCGGUGUGUCAUUGUAAAUAAGAAUUUGUUCUUAAUUGACUUGCCUAGUUAAAUAAAGGUUAAAUAAAUAAAAAUACAAAUGUGAAAUUCAUCACUUAGUCUAUGUACUUACACGCCAUCCUGUCACCCAAUAUAGGUUGGCUUUAUGUAAAUUGUUGUUUUGCUGAAAACUGUCACAGGGAUUGUUAUCAAUGUCAUUUUGCAAAUUGCAAAGAUGUGAUUGCUUAUAGAAAAGGCUCCCAAAACCACAUUAAGCAACACUCUGAAGGUAGACCACUUUUUAAAGAAGAAAAACAUCCUGACACAGUUUGAUUGACUACCAGGUCUCUCUUUCUCCUGCUGUGUGCUUUGUCCACCCGCCCCUUACCUGAAACAUAAUAGUAGAAAAGAGACUGAGUGACCUGAUUACAGCACAAUGGAUCUCAUUCUCUCUGACACACCGUCUUCCAGUAGUGUGCAACCGACACUGCCUUCAGUCGUUGGGCUGCAGCAAGCUGGCAUUAGAAACGUGAAAGUAUUUUACUUUUUCAAAUUCAGCAGAUGAUGUUGAAUCAGUGGACCACUUGAGGGAAAUGGAGCACAUGUCAGCUGCUGCACCAGCAGGUGGCCAGGGGAAAUCAAAGCUGAAGGAGAAGUCCAAGUCUAUGCACGUUAAUCCUUGACCUUUGUCUCUACAAAUUAGCAGUUUCAGGUUCCACUGAUAUGUGAGAGAUAAGCUUGCACAAUGCACCUUUCAAUAGAGGGGGCGAAAUCCUUCCAUUCAAGCAAGUUUAUCAGACCUUAUACCUUUUAGGUUUUUCCUUUUUAAUAUUUAUUUAUUACAUACUGAAUGAUUAAUGAAAAAUAUUUUGAUAUUUCUGUUUACCUGUAGUCAUGCUUACCAUUCAUUUUGGAUUGUUAGCGUAUAGCUGGGUCUACAAAAAA
This is a long non-coding RNA of Oncorhynchus masou masou (cherry salmon), 4669 nucleotides long. RefSeq lists it as uncharacterized. NCBI's taxonomy places the organism in Eukaryota, Metazoa, Chordata, Actinopteri, Salmoniformes, Salmonidae. The transcript has 4 exons. The record is from RefSeq and is a predicted model, not a curated record.